UUGAGUUCCCUGUAGUCGAUACACAUACGGAAUGAUCCGUCUUUCUUCUUAACAAACAAGACUGGUGCUCCCCAAGGCGAGAAGCUUGGUCUUAUGAAGCCCUUGCUGAGCAGUUCGUUAAGUUGACCAGAUAAUUCCUGCAUCUCAGCUGGUGCUAAUCGGUAUGGCGACUUAGCUACUGGGGUAGCUCCUGGAAUUAAGUCGAUUCUGAACUCGAUUUGUCGUUGCGGAGGUAAUCCUGGUAGUUCUUCUGGAAAAAUGUCGGGAAAGUCGCUCACUACUGGGAUAUUCUUUAGUUCUUUCGUUUCUAGGCUUGUAUCGACAACGUGAGCAAGGAAUGCACGAUAUUCCUUAUGUAGAUAUUUUUGUACUUGGAUACUUGAAAUAAUACGAAGACUUGUACUAGGUUUGUCGCCGGAGACGGUAAGAGUUUCGUUAGAUAGGAGGUUUAGACGGAUUGCUUUCUCGAAGCACAUGAUGUCGGCGUGAUGAAGACUCAACCAAUCCAUGCUGAUGAUAACGUCGAAGCUUUUAAUUGAAACCGACAUGAGUUCGAUUGUAAAUGAAUGGUUACCAAGAGUUAAGGUACAACCUAAGUAUAUGCUCUUGGUGCUUUCAGUUNNNNNNNNNNNNNNNNNNNNNNNNNNNNNNNNNNNNNNNNNNNNNNNNNNNNNNNNNNNNNNNNNNNNNNNNNNNNNNNNNNNNNNNNNNNNNNNNNNNNGUGCGAAUGGAUAGUUUUUGUCAACGACUUGACUCUUCGACCAGAGUAUUCCUUCCGACUUAGGGCGUCCGCUACUAAGUUGGCUUUACCUGGAUGAUAACGAAUGUCGCAUUCGUAGUCAUUGAGUAGCUCNGUCUCAUGUUGAGCUCCUUCUGAUCGAAUAUGUGUUGUAAACUCUUGUGGUCGGUAAAAAUAGUGCUUUUUGUGCCAUACAAGUAAUGUCUCCAGAUCUUCAGGGCAAACACAACUGCCCCCAGUUCAAGAUCAUGUGUGGUGUAGUUGACUUCGUGUGUCUUCAGCUGUCUCGAGGCGUAGGCGAUGACCUUACCCCGUUGCAUCAGGACACAACCGAGCCCUUGGUUUGACGCAUCGCAAUAGACCACGAAGUCUUCUAUCCCUUCGGGUAGGGAUAGUAUUGGUGCGGUGCACAAGGCUCGUUUGAGCGUUUGAAAUGCUCUCUCUUGUUUCUCUUCCCAGUCGAAGGCCACGCCCUUCUGGGUCAGUGUUGUAAGAGGUUUCGCAAUACUGGAGAAGUUCUGUAUGAAUCUGCGGUAGUAGCCAGCAAGACCUAGAAAUUGACGAAUUUCUGUAGGCGUCUUUGGUGCUGACCAGUUCUCAAUAGCCUUAAUUUUGGAUGGAUCCACGUGGAUUCCCUCUUUGCUUACCACAUGUCCUAAGAAUUCGACUCUUCAGAUCCAAAAUUCACAUUUCGAGAACUUUGCAUAGAGCUUCUCCGUUCAUAAAGUUCUUAAAACUUGUCGUAGGUGAUUGCCAUGCUCUUCCUUACUUCGGGAGUAGAUCAGGAUGUUGUCAAUAAAGACAAUAACAAACUGAUCCAAGUAAGGUCGGCGUACUCUAUUCAUCAAAUCCAUGAAGACUACGGGCGCAUUGGUCAAUCCGAAUGGCAUCACCACGAACUCGUAGUGUCCGUAACGAGUCCGUAAGGCUGUCUUCGGAACAUCUUCCUCUAGCACUCGUAACUGGUGAUAUCCGGAUCUCAGAUCAAUUUUGGAAAAAUAAUUCGCCCCUUGCAGUUGGUCAAAUAGAUCGUCUAUGCGAGGCAGAGGGUAACGAUUUUUGACCGUCAGCUUGUUGAGUUCCCUGUAGUCGAUACACAUACGGAAUGAUCCGUCUUUCUUCUUAACAAACAAGACUGGUGCUCCCCAAGGCGAGAAGCGUGGUCUUAUGAAGCCCUUGCAGAGCAGUUCAUUAAGUUGACUAGAUAAUUCCUGCAUCUCAGCUGGUGCUAAUCGGUAUGGCGACUUAGCUACUGGGGUAGCUCCUGGAAUUAAGUCGAUUCUGAACUCGAUUUGUCGUUGCGGAGGUAAUCCUGGUAGUUCUUCUGGAAAAAUGUCGGGAAAGUCGCUCACUACUGGGAUAUUCUUUAGUUCUUUCGUUUCUAGGCUUGUAUCGACAACGUGAGCAAGGAAUGCG
This 2155-nucleotide long non-coding RNA is filed under the name Lactuca sativa (garden lettuce). RNAcentral describes it as "long non-coding RNA (LSAT_LNC003277)". Lineage: Eukaryota; Viridiplantae; Streptophyta; Magnoliopsida; Asterales; Asteraceae. The record is from RNAcentral.